GACGAACGCUGGCGGCGUGCCUAAUACAUGCAAGUCGAACGGUCCCCUUUCGGGGGGAUAGUGGCGGACGGGUGAGUAACACGUAGAUGACCUGCCCUUUAGUGGGGAAUAACAUCUCGAAAGAGAUGCUAAUACCGCAUAAGUUCUCUCCUGUUGGGGGGAGAAGAAACCUGUCUUGUGAAAGAGAUGGGGCUGAAGGAGGGGUCUGCGGCGGAUUAGCUAGUUGGAGGGGUAACGCCCACCAAGGCGACGAUCCGUAGCUGGUCUGAGAGGACGGCCAGCCACACUGGGACU
This 294-nucleotide ribosomal RNA is filed under the name uncultured bacterium. Its description in RNAcentral is "partial 16S ribosomal RNA". It matches the Rfam family "Bacterial small subunit ribosomal RNA", at positions 28 to 320 of the family's 1533-position model. The record is from RNAcentral.